AAUUGAAGCUCGAAGAAUUCAGAUUUUUUUGCAGAAGCUUGUACGAGAAACUGUGGUGAUGAAGGGAUUAUUAGGGAGAUUGAUAACGCGAACGAAUCUCCGGAGCUGUAGAUUGUUAACAAAAACCCAUGUAGAAAAUGGUUCACUUUCCACAUCUCGUCGAUUCCUUUAUGCUUUAUCUUCCAAUACGCCGUAUGUGUUCUCUGAUUUCACUUCGCUAAAGCCUUCAAAGUUUCCUUCUUCAUGCCCGACAUUAUGGAGCCAUUUUGGAGGCCAGAAGAGGACCAUGUUUAUCCAAACUCAAUCAACUCCGAAUCCGUUAUCCCUAAUGUUCUAUCCUGGGAAGCCAGUUGUGGAAACUGGGAGUGCAGACUUUCCAAAUGCUCGUUCUGCCAUGAAUUCACCUCUGGCGAAGGCCCUCUUUGGAAUAGAUGGGAUUACACGCGUAUUUUUUGGAUCAGAUUUUAUUACUGUAACAAAAAGUGAAGAAGCAUCCUGGGAUUUCCUCAAACCUGAAAUAUUUGCAGCAAUUAUGGAUUUCUAUUCCUCCGGGAACCCAGUAUUCCUCGACUCCAGUACUGCAGCCUCCAUGGAUACAGCUAUCCAUGAGGAUGAUUCAGAAACAGUGGCAAUGAUCAAGGAACUUUUAGAGACUCGCAUUCGUCCAGCUGUACAAGAUGAUGGUGGGGACAUUGUAUACCGAGGAUUCGAUCCAGAUACAGGAGUAGUCAAAUUGAAAAUGCAAGGAGCAUGUAGUGGUUGUCCUAGCUCAUCGGUUACCCUUAAAUCUGGUAUCGAGAAUAUGCUCAUGCAUUAUGUGCCCGAGGUUAAAAGUGUGGAACAGGAACUGGAUGAAGACGAACAACCUGCAUUAACCGGGGCAGCACACGAGUAGUAUUACUGUUAUAGUUUCCUUCAGUUGAGUUGAUUUGCUGAGAGAGAGAUCUCAAUUAGGUGGAGACAGGACUUGUUCAUGCUCCUCCAUGGAAAGAGUGAGUAAAGUUGGAUAGUAGUUUUGAUGACAUCCUAAUAAAUAGUUCGAAUCAAG
Molecule: unclassified non-coding RNA, 1048 nt
Filed under: Hevea brasiliensis (rubber tree)
Lineage: Eukaryota; Viridiplantae; Streptophyta; Magnoliopsida; Malpighiales; Euphorbiaceae
Source: RNAcentral